Molecule: ribosomal RNA, 1344 nt
Filed under: uncultured bacterium
Lineage: Bacteria
Description: bacterial SSU rRNA
Rfam family: Bacterial small subunit ribosomal RNA
Source: RNAcentral
GACGAACUUUGGCGGCGCGCCUAACACAUGCAAGUCGAACGGAGUUGUGUUGAAAGCUUGCUGGAUAUACAACUUAGUGGCGGACGGGUGAGUAACACGUGAGUAACCUGCCUCUCAGAGUGGAAUAACGUUUGGAAACGAACGCUAAUACCGCAUAACGUGAGAAGAGGGCAUCCUCUUUUUACCAAAGAUUUAUCGCUGAGAGAUGGGCUCGCGGCCGAUUAGGUAGUUGGUGAGAUAACACCCCACCAAGCCGACGAUCGGUAGCCGGACUGAGAGGUUGAUCGGCCACAUUGGGACUGAGACACGGCCCACACUCCUACGGGAGGCAGCAGUGGGGGAUAUUGCACAAUGGGGGAAACCCUGAUGCAGCGACGCCGCGUGAGGGAAGACGGUUUUCGGAUUGUAAACCUCUGUCUUUAGGGACAAAAAAAUGACGGUACCUAAGGAGGAAGCCACGGCUAACUACGUGCCAGCAGCCGCGGUAAUACGUAGGUGGCAAGCGUUGUCCGGAAUUACUGGGUGUAAAGGGAGCGUAGGCGGGGAGACAAGUUGAAUGUCUAAACUAUCGGCUUAACUGAUAGUCGCGUUCAAAACUAUCACUCUUGAGUGCAGUAGAGGUAGGCGGAAUUCCUAGUGUAGCGGUGAAAUGCGUAGAUAUUAGGAGGAACACCAGUGGCGAAGGCGGCCUACUGGGCUGUAACUGACGCUGAGGCUCGAAAGCGUGGGUAGCAAACAGGAUUAGAUACCCUGGUAGUCCACGCCGUAAACGACUUGUAGGAGGUGUGGGGGGGACUGACCCCUUCCGUGCCGGAGUUAACACAAUAAGUAAUCCACUUGGGGAGUACGACCGCAAGGUUGAAACUCAAAGGAAUUGACGGGGGCCCGCACAAGCAGUGGAGUAUGUGGUUUAAUUCGAAGCAACGCGAAGAACCUUACCAGGUCUUGACAUCGAGCGACGAACCUAGAGAUAAGUUCUUCCUUCGGGACGCGAAGACAGGUGGUGCAUGGUUGUCGUCAGUUCGUGUCGUGAGAUGUUGGGUUAAGUCCCGCAACGAGCGCAACCCUUAUCAUUAGUUGCUACGCAAGAGCACUCUAAUGAGACUGCCGUUGAUAAAACGGAGGAAGGUGGGGAUGACGUCAAAUCAUCAUGCCCCUUAUGACCUGGGCUACACACGUACUACAAUGGUGAUCAAACAGAGGGAAGCAACACAGCGAUGUGAAGCAAAUCCCGAAAAAUCAUCUCAGUUCAGAUUGCAGGCUGCAACUCGCCUGCAUGAAGUCGGAAUUGCUAGUAAUCGCGGAUCAGCAUGCCGCGGUGAAUACGUUCCCGGGCCUUGCACA